ACUGCCUGUUGAAUAUAUAGACAGGAAAGAGCGAACCUGGCGAAUUGAAACAUCUUAGUAGCCAGAGGAAAAGAAAUCAAAAGAGAUUCCCCGAGUAGUGGUGAGCGAAAGGGGAAGAGCCUAAACCAAGGGGUAUACCUCUUGGGGUAGUGGGACAGCAACAUCGAAUCCAGAGACUAGACGAAGCAGCUAAAUACUGCACCAGAGGGGGUGAAAGUCCUGUAGUCGAAAGUCAAAGGAUAGAAGCUGAAUCCCGAGUAGUACGGGGCACGAGAAAUCCCGUAUGAAUCAGCGAGGACCAUCUCGUAAGGCUAAAUACUACUGUGUGACCGAUAGAGAACAAGUACCGCGAGGGAAAGGUGAAAAGAACCCCG
This 374-nucleotide ribosomal RNA is filed under the name Cylindrospermopsis raciborskii S14. Its description in RNAcentral is "bacterial LSU rRNA". It matches the Rfam family "Bacterial large subunit ribosomal RNA", at positions 150 to 528 of the family's 2925-position model. Lineage: Bacteria; Bacillati; Cyanobacteriota; Cyanophyceae; Nostocales; Aphanizomenonaceae. The record is from RNAcentral.